UCAGACGAUGCGUCAUGCAUAUCAAUAAGCGGAGGAAAAGAAACUAACAAGGAUUCCCUUAGUAACGGCGAGUGAAGCGGGAAGAGCUCAAAUUUGAAAUCUUCAAGGUUUUACCUUGACGAAUUGUAGUUUAAAGAAGUGUUUUCUGUUGAAGUUUUGGUAAAAGUUCUUUGGAAUAGGACAUCAUAGAGGGUGAGAAUCCCGUAUUUGACCAUUAUUUUCAGCUGUGUGAUACACUUUCAAAGAGUCGGAUUGUUUGGGAAUGCAGUCCAAAAUGGGUGGUAAAUUUCAUCUAAAGCUAAAUACUGGCGAGAGACCGAUAGCGAACAAGUACCGUGAGGGAAAGAUGAAAAGAACUUUGAAAAGAGAGUUAAACAGUACGUGAAAUUGUCAAAAGGGAAGCGUUUGACACCAGUGUUGUUUUCUCGAAAAUCAAUUAAAAAGAGUUGGAUUUUGUGUUGUAUUGACCUUAACAGCUUGCUUCACUCUUUUCCUGCUUUUUUUAAUGCACUUUUCGUUUAACAAGUCAACAUCAGUUUCUUUUGUUGUAAAAGGGUCAUUGGAAGGUGGCUUUCUCUUCGGAGAAAGUGUUUAUAGCCUUUGAUCUCUGCAAUCGGAGAGACUGAGGUCUGCAGCGUAGAUCCUUCGGGGUUAGAUACAUUUGUGCUAAGCUACAGCUUUUCAUAGACAACUUGUUGACUAUGUUUAGUCUUGUAACUUACCCGCUUAUGCUAUUUUACCUACGCUUAGGAUGUUGAUAUGCAUGACUGAUAU
Molecule: ribosomal RNA, 774 nt
Filed under: uncultured Neocallimastigales
Lineage: Eukaryota; Fungi; Neocallimastigomycota; Neocallimastigomycetes; Neocallimastigales
Description: partial large subunit ribosomal RNA
Rfam family: Eukaryotic large subunit ribosomal RNA
Source: RNAcentral